UCUCUGUCACCCUUCCUAAACAUACAAAAGCAAAUUAUCUUUCCAAGUGGGUAAACCAUGAUUAUCAACACCAUAAAGAGUGCCCAUAUCACUUCCCAUCUUCCAUUUUUCCAUAUUUUGAAUGCCAAUAAUAUCCAUGAUGGUCAGUUGCCUUGUUGGGAGCCCUAUCAACAUGAGACAUUCUCUUUUCACCAUGCCUCUGUGCAGGUAGCUCAGCUUUACUAUUUUCUGGGCACACUAUGAUGAUUUUUCGAAGCAUUUCGUCUUAAUUGCAGCCACUUUGCUUUUCUGAUUGGAAUGAGAAUGUGGGAUGGUGCUUCUCCUUUUCUUUUAUCUAUUUCUUGGCUUCCUUUCCUCUCCUAGGUUUUAAGGUGGAAAAUUGAAGUAUAAUGAAGACGACAGCGUAUCUUUUGCCAUUUCUUAAAACACAGUAUUUAAAUAGAAGAACACCUGUUUUUCAGGAUUUGAUCUUGAUACUAGCUAGUAUUUACCACUAUGAUGUCCCCUUGUAAACUUGCUGAGUCUGUUUCUAUGUAUAAAUAUGGUAAUAUAUAUAUGAAUAAUCUAAUCAAAU
Molecule: long non-coding RNA, 574 nt
Filed under: Populus trichocarpa (black cottonwood)
Lineage: Eukaryota; Viridiplantae; Streptophyta; Magnoliopsida; Malpighiales; Salicaceae
Description: long non-coding RNA (PTRI_LNC001148)
Source: RNAcentral